UACGUAGGGUGCGAGCGUUAAUCGGAAUUACUGGGCGUAAAGCGUGCGCAGGCGGUGAUGUAAGACCGAUGUGAAAUCCCCGGGCUUAACCUGGGAACUGCAUUGGUGACUGCAUUGCUGGAGUAUGGCAGAGGGGGGGUGGAAUUCCACGUGUAGCAGUGAAAUGCGUAGAGAUGUGGAGGAACACCGAUGGCGAAGGCAGCCCCUGGGCCAAUACUGACGCUCAUGCACGAAAGCGUGGGAGCAAACAG
Molecule: ribosomal RNA, 251 nt
Filed under: uncultured bacterium
Lineage: Bacteria
Description: partial 16S ribosomal RNA
Rfam family: Bacterial small subunit ribosomal RNA
Source: RNAcentral